GAGUAAGACCAAGCGGCGGACGGGUGAGUAACGCGUGGGUAACCUGCCCUAUACACAUGGAUAACAUACUGAAAAGUUUACUAAUACAUGAUAAUAUAUAUUUACGGCAUCGUAGAUAUAUCAAAGUGUUAGCGGUAUAGGAUGGACCCGCGUCUGAUUAGCUAGUUGGUGAGAUAACUGCCCACCAAGGCGACGAUCAGUAGCCGACCUGAGAGGGUGAUCGGCCACAUUGGAACUGAGACACGGUCCAAACUCCUACGGGAGGCAGCAGUGGGGAAUAUUGCACAAUGGGCGCAAGCCUGAUGCAGCAACGCCGCGUGAACGAUGAAGGUCUUCGGAUCGUAAAGUUCUGUUGCAGGGGAAGAUAAUGACGGUACCCUGUGAGGAAGCCCCGGCUAACUACGUGCCAGCAGCCGCGGUAAUACGUAGGGGGCUAGCGUUAUCCGGAUUUACUGGGCGUAAAGGGUGCGUAGGUGGUCUUUCAAGUCGGUGGUUAAAGGCUACGGCUCAACCGUAGUUAGCCUCCGAAACUGGAAGACUUGAGUGCAGGAGAGGAAAGUGGAAUUCCCAGUGUAGCGGUGAAAUGCGUAGAUAUUGGGAGGAACACCAGUAGCGAAGGCGGCUUUCUGGACUGCAACUGACACUGAGGCACGAAAGCGUGGGUAGCAAACAGGAUUAGAUACCCUGGUAGUCCACGCUGUAAACGAUGAGUACUAGGUGUCGGGGGUUACCCCCCUCGGUGCCGCAGCUAACGCAUUAAGUACUCCGCCUGGGGAGUACGCACGCAAGUGUGAAACUCAAAGGAAUUGACGGGGACCCGCACAAGUAGCGGAGCAUGUGGUUUAAUUCGAAGCAACGCGAAGAACCUUACCUAAGCUUGACAUCCCUUAGACCGGUGUUUAAUCACACCUUCCCUUCGGGGCUGAGGUGACAGGUGGUGCAUGGUUGUCGUCAGCUCGUGUCGUGAGAUGUUGGGUUAAGUCCCGCAACGAGCGCAACCCUUGUCUUUAGUUGCCAGCAUUCAGUUGGGCACUCUAGAGAGACUGCCAGGGAUAACCUGGAGGAAGGUGGGGAUGACGUCAAAUCAUCAUGCCCCUUAUGCUUAGGGCUACACACGUGCUACAAUGGGUGGUACAGAGGGUUGCCAAACCGUGAGGUGGAGCUAAUCCCUUAAAGCCAUUCUCAGUUCGGAUUGUAGGCUGAAACUCGCCUACAUGAAGCUGGAGUUACUAGUAAUCGCAGAUCAGAAUGCUGCGGUGAAUGCGUUCCCGGGUCU
This 1276-nucleotide ribosomal RNA is filed under the name uncultured bacterium. RNAcentral's name for it is "bacterial SSU rRNA". It matches the Rfam family "Bacterial small subunit ribosomal RNA", at positions 83 to 1381 of the family's 1533-position model. The record is from RNAcentral.